RNAcentral lists this long non-coding RNA (1900 nucleotides) under Vulpes vulpes (red fox). RNAcentral describes it as "lncRNA (ENSVVUG00000024721.1)". Lineage: Eukaryota; Metazoa; Chordata; Mammalia; Carnivora; Canidae. The record is from RNAcentral.
AUGAGAGGGUCUGCACACUGCGCCCCCCACCCCCUGCAGUCUCUGGAGCUAGUCAGCAAAUCGCUGCAGAAGAUGGUCCUCCCGCCGCAAGCUGCCCCCCGUGCCGCCGCCGCUGUCCAUGAAGCGGUCGCAGGGGAACUCGAUGAGGUCGGCCUCGCUGAGCGCACACACGGUGGCGCGCGGCCGGUGCGACUGGAAGCCGGAGAAGUCGGCGGACACGCCGGUGCCCAUGGAGCGCAGCGGCCGUCGGGUGGAGUACAUGUGCCUAACGUGCACGGGCGCGCCCGCCUUGCGCCUCGCCCGCAGCUUCCUGCGCAGCCAGCGCGACGCCCAGGCCGCCAGCGCCAGGAGCACCAGCAGCGCGUUGACCGCCAGCAAGGCCAAGGUCAGCAGCUGGUAGUCCACGCUGCUCCGGGCCCCGGGCUCCGGCAGGGUGACCAGCCCGGCGCAGUGGUCGCGGGGCGCCACCGGGCAGACGCGGCCGCCGAGCACGCCCUCCACGCACACCAGAGGAGAGAAGACUAAGAAGCUACUGGCUUUCAAAUUGAACCACUGGAUGUACCUGGGAUGGAGCUGUGAGCCUGUAGUGUGAGGACACACAAAAAGCCAUCCGAGCAGAGAAGAGGUCGGCAGCUGAGAGAGGUGUAACAUGGAAGAGAGACAGCGGAGCAGAGAUCAGACCCAUCCCUUAGCAUCAGCCUCCCCUCCUCCUGAGCCUGCAGAAACCUUGCAGAGCGGGGACAGCAGGCAGCGUUCCAUAGGACCUCUGUAGUUGGCCCUAAUCAUAAGAUGCCGCUAUGUAAGAUUUACAAAGUCAUCAGGCCCCUGCCGAUGUUCGGUAUUUUUCAGCGUUUUUGACUGUCUUUGGUAGUAUUGCCCCGUGUUGAACAUUUCUACCAGUUGGUGCUGGAUUGCAGGUAGAAAUAACAUCAUAUGCGGUUUAUGUCAAAAGACAAUUGCUUUCCCAUAACAUUCCAUUUCCUUGAAGUAACCCAUCUGCCUCCUAUAGUUAACUUUGCUUAAAAUAGAUACAGUGUGCCAUACUUCAGAUGAGUAUAAAAAGCUUCCCAUGGGUUUUGCUAGGCACCCUCACCCAGUUUCAGCGAGAUUAAGACUUUGAGAUCUACAGAUGAAGCGGUACCACCUGUGUGUGUGUGUGCGUGCGUGCAGAUGAAUUCUUUCUGAAGUAGUGUGAUUGCUGUCUUUUUAACCAGGGCUUCCAUUUGCAAAGGCAUGUAACUUGAGGUCAACUUUACAAAUCAAUGACAUUUACAUCCUUCCGAGUACAUUAAUGUGAUAUUCCUCUGUGCCCCCAGUGGUCUCCAUUUCUGUAAUGCUACACGUUCAGGUGUUUGAUUUAUUUUUCAGGCCAUCUCUCUUCCAGGAGCUAAAACAGUAUUUUGCUUGAAUUCAGCAGCACCUCGAGUGCCCUGGUAGUGAAGAGCUAUAAUAGCAACGCCAAAACUGCAUUUGCUCUGAAUGCUGGUGGUCUGGCGGGUAGUUUUUAGUGAGAAUCUAGCAAGUGACCAAUCCCAGGAUGAGCGAUGGGAACGCGGUCUCUGAUAGGAUUCGAUGCCAGACCCCAGGGCUUAACAGCUCAGUUGGGAGGCUGAUGAGCAAGGACCCACUGCAUCACCAGCUGAUAAGUGCUGAGGGAUGGAGCCGUGGGAGCCCUGAGGAGGACAUGUGGCCUGGCCUGAGAGCAUGAGGAAGGUGUCCAGAGGAGGAAAGUGCUGGAAGCCUGCAGACAUGUGCAAGAGAGUCUGCUAGGAAGCUCCAGAUCUUCUGUCCUUGUAGAUGAGAUUUUUUUGACAUCUGUAGUUUUCCACAGUAUCACACAACCUUGCUCAUACAAUGACUUCCCAAUAAAUAUUCCCUUAUUCCCCUUUAAGGAUUUCUG